This 506-nucleotide ribosomal RNA is filed under the name uncultured bacterium. RNAcentral's name for it is "partial 16S ribosomal RNA". It matches the Rfam family "Bacterial small subunit ribosomal RNA", at positions 29 to 523 of the family's 1533-position model. The record is from RNAcentral.
AGUGAACGCUGGCGGUAGGCCUAACACAUGCAAGUCGAACGGCAGCACAGGAGAGCUUGCUCUCUGGGUGGCGAGUGGCGGACGUGUGAGGAAUACAUCGGAAUCUACUUUUUCGUGGGGGAUAACGUAGGGAAACUUACGCUAAUACCGCAUACGACCUACGGGUGAAAGCAGGGGAUCUUCGGACCUUGCGCGAUUGAAUGAGCCGAUGUCGGAUUAGCUAGUUGGCGGGGUAAAGGCCCACCAAGGCGACGAUCCGUAGCUGGUCUGAGAGGAGGAUCAGCCACACUGGAACUGAGACACGGUCCAGACUCCUACGGGAGGCAGCAGUGGGGAAUAUUGGACAAUGGGCGCAAGCCUGAUCCAGCCAUACCGCGUGGGUGAAGAAGGCCUUCGGGUUGUAAAGCCCUUUUGUUGGGAAAGAAAUCCAGCUGGUUAAUACCCGGUUGGGAUGACGGUACCCAAAGAAUAAGCACCGGCUAACUUCGUGCCAGCAGCCGCAGUAA